GUGAAUCAUCGAAUUUUUGAACGCAAAUUGCACUCCCUGGUAUUCCGGGGAGUAUGCCUGUUUGAGGGUCGGUAGAACAAAAAUCGAGGCGUCGCUCUUUUUUGUUAAGGUUGAUCGCGUCGGAAUUGAGCCCGCUUUCAAGUGUUAAUGCAUUUCAAAGAGUCUUUAGAUUAGUCUGUCAGUUACGAUUAAAGCGUAUUUAAGAUCAACUUUGAUUAAGAACUCGCGAUGAACGUACAAUCUCACUUAGUGC
This 253-nucleotide unclassified non-coding RNA is filed under the name Glomeraceae sp. RNAcentral's name for it is "partial contains 5.8S ribosomal RNA and internal transcribed spacer 2". The stretch from base 1 to 71 matches the Rfam family "5.8S ribosomal RNA", at positions 84 to 154 of the family's 154-position model. The record is from RNAcentral. Lineage: Eukaryota; Fungi; Glomeromycota; Glomeromycetes; Glomerales; Glomeraceae.